GCUAACUACGGGACUGCGUCAGCGGUAAUACGAGGGGCGCGAUGGUUAUCCGGGAUUAUUUGGCGGAAAGAGUACGUAGGCGGGUAGGUAAGAAAAUGGUUAAAGCUCCGGGCUCAACGCGGAAAUCGCCGUUGUUACUGCUUAACUCGUCGGUAGCAGGGGCAAGCGGAAUUGUCGGUGUAGGAGUGAAAUCCGUUGAGAUCGACAAGAACACCAAUGGCGAAGGCAGCUUGCUAGGCUAUUUGAGACGCUGAGGUACGAAAGCGUGGGGAGCGAACGGGAUUAGAUACCCGUGUAGUC
RNAcentral lists this ribosomal RNA (300 nucleotides) under uncultured Methanothermus sp. RNAcentral describes it as "bacterial SSU rRNA". It matches the Rfam family "Bacterial small subunit ribosomal RNA", at positions 496 to 795 of the family's 1533-position model. Lineage: Archaea; Methanobacteriati; Methanobacteriota; Methanobacteria; Methanobacteriales; Methanothermaceae. The record is from RNAcentral.